GAUGAACGCUGGCGGCGUGCCUAAUACAUGCAAGUCGAACGCACAGCGAAAGGUGCUUGCACCUUUCAAGCGAGUGGCGAACGGGUGAGUAACACGUGGAUAACCUGCCUCAAGGCUGGGGAUAACAUUUGGAAACAGAUGCUAAUACCGAAUAAAACUUAGUAUCGCAUGAUACAAAGUUAAAAGGCGCUACGGCGUCACCUAGAGAUGGAACCGCGGUGCAUUAGUUAGUUGGUGGGGUAAAGGCUUACCAAGACGAUGAUGCAUAGCCGAGUUGAGAGACUGAUCGGCCACAUUGGGACUGGGACACGGCCCAAACUCCUACGGGAGGCUGCAGUAGGGAAUCUUCCACAAUGGGCGCAAGCCUGAUGGAGCAACGCCGCGUGUGUGAUGAAGGCUUUCGGGUCGUAAAGCACUGUUGUAUGGGAAGAAAUGCUAAAAUAGGGAAUGAUUUUAGUUUGACGGUACCAUACCAGAAAGGGACGGCUAAAUACGUGCCAGCCGCCGCAGUAA
RNAcentral lists this ribosomal RNA (513 nucleotides) under uncultured bacterium. Its description in RNAcentral is "partial 16S ribosomal RNA". It matches the Rfam family "Bacterial small subunit ribosomal RNA", at positions 28 to 523 of the family's 1533-position model. The record is from RNAcentral.